RNAcentral lists this ribosomal RNA (229 nucleotides) under uncultured bacterium. Its description in RNAcentral is "partial 16S ribosomal RNA". It matches the Rfam family "Bacterial small subunit ribosomal RNA", at positions 568 to 796 of the family's 1533-position model. The record is from RNAcentral.
UGCGUAGGCGGGCUAAUAAGUCAGUGGUGAAAUCUCUUGGCUCAACCGGGAAACUGCCAUUGAUACUGUUAGUCUUGAGUUCGGUUGAGGUAGGCGGAAUGUGUAAUGUAGCGGUGAAAUGCUUAGAUAUUACACAGAACACCAAUUGCGUAGGCAGCUUACUAGACCGACACUGACGCUGAGGCACGAAAGCGUGGGGAGCGAACAGGAUUAGAUACCCUGGUAGUCC